GCGGCAGGCCUUACACAUGCAAGUCGAGCGAGAAAUUUUCUUCGGGAAAGAGUAAAGCGGCGGACGGGUGAGUAACGCGUAGGAAUCUACCUAGUAGUGGGGGACAACAUGUGGAAACGCAUGCUAAUACCGCAUACGCCCUAUGGGGGAAAGCAGGGGAUCUUCGGACCUUGUGCUAUUAGAUGAGCCUGCGUCGGAUUAGUUUGUUGGUAGGGUAAUGGCCUACCAAGACUACGAUCCGUAGCUGGUCUGAGAGGAUGAUCAGCCACAUUGGGACUGAGACACGGCCCAAACUCCUACGGGAGGCAGCAGUGGGGAAUCUUGCACAAUGGAGGAAACUCUGAUGCAGCGAUGCCGCGUGAGUGAAGAAGGCCCUUGGGUUGUAAAGCUCUUUCGUCGGGGAAGAAAAUGACUGUACCCGAAUAAGAAGGUCCGGC
This 437-nucleotide ribosomal RNA is filed under the name uncultured Pseudomonadota bacterium. RNAcentral's name for it is "bacterial SSU rRNA". It matches the Rfam family "Bacterial small subunit ribosomal RNA", at positions 39 to 497 of the family's 1533-position model. Lineage: Bacteria; Pseudomonadati; Pseudomonadota. The record is from RNAcentral.